This 1593-nucleotide long non-coding RNA is filed under the name Homo sapiens (human). RNAcentral's name for it is "HSALNT0324027". The record is from RNAcentral. Lineage: Eukaryota; Metazoa; Chordata; Mammalia; Primates; Hominidae.
UAUAUAUAUAUAAAAUGGUUUAUUUGGCUCACGAUUCUGAUGGUUGGAAAGUUCAUGAUCAGGCCUCUGCUUCUAGUGAGGGCCUUGCUCUGCUUCCACUCAGGGUGGAAAGUGGAGGGGAGCCGUGUGAGCAGAGAUGGCAGAGAUGGCAUGGCAAGAGCAAGCAAGCGUGUGGGGAGGCGCCAGGGUCAUUUUAACAACCAGCUCUCUUGGGAACUAAUGGAGCAAGAAUGCAUUCAUUACCAUGAGGAGGGCACCAAGCCAUUCAUGAGGGAUCCCCAUGACCCCCAUGGGACCCCCACGGGACCCCCAUGACCCAAACACCUCCCACCAGGCCCCACCUUCAACACCGGGGAUCACAUUUCAACCUGAGAUGUGGAGGGACACACAUUCCAACUAUAGCGAGCUGCUACAGAGCUUGAGCUGGUGACUGACAUGCAAAUCCAGAGGCUAAAUGUUGUUUUCAAGAGAAGACAGAAAUUUUUACUUUUUUAUUGAGGCAGAGUCUCACUCUGUCGCCCAGGCUGGAGUGCAGUGGCAUGAUCUUGGCUCACUGCAAGCUCUGCCUCCCGGGUUCACGCCAUUCUCCUGCCUCAGCCUCCCGAGUAGCUGGGACUACAGGCGCCCGCCACCACGCUCAGCUAAUUUUUUGUAUUUUUAGUAGAGACGGGGUUUCACUGUGUUAGCCAGGAUGGUCUCGAUCUCCUGUCCUUGCGAUCCACCCGUCUCGGCCUCCCAAAGUGCUGGGAUUACAGGAGUGAGUCACUGCGCCUGGCCAAAUUGUGAUAUUUUAAGUGUAAACUAUCUCAAUGGGAAUAUUGAUAACAAUUCAUAUAUAUUUUUUAAACUGCAUGACCCAAAUGAAACAGGUCUGUGUGCCUGAUUUGCAGCCUCUGGACUAUUAUGUGCAAGUGGAAUCCUGUGGCUUGGGGUCAGGAAGCAAUGCUGCAGGCCUCUGGGUAAGGGAUGGGGACUUCCCCGAAUGGAGUGGGAAUUCCCACUGCCGGUCCUUCUGGAAAGUGGCCUGUCCUAGGACAGGAACUGAGGAACAGGGAGGCAGAGUUUGCCUCCCAUGGGUGGAGGAGCUCCUUCUCUCACCGAGUCUCUGGAGGGCUGCCCUGCAUGGUCGGGGGCAGGUGUGCUCACAGCACCCUGGUGGGGCAGGCCCUGCUCCAGGGAGGCAAGCUCGGGGGGCCUGACUGAGCGGCAGCAGUAGCAGCCCCAAGUCCCCCUGUUUUGAGCGUCCCUUCUGCUGACACUUCAAACAAUGCCUGGUUAAAGGUUAUAGCCCAGCUUAAGCUGGGUGCGGAGAGGAAUGAGGUGGAGCAGAGGAGAAGGUGGGGAGCGCGUGCUCCUUCUGCAAGGCCUAAGUCAGGGGACUCAGUGGCACCAGAACAGUGGUCAUCUUGGGAGUGCCAACAGCUGGGAAGGCAGUCCUGGUCGCUCAGGAGCGGGGAAGAAGAGCAGACGCUCAGACACACGUGGUUGAAGCCGGGCCCUUCGUUUGAAGAAAUGACAAUAGAUGUUUGCCUGGAGUUUUAGCGUUUACAAAGUGAUCCACUAACACCGUCUCAUGGAAUCUUCACAUCAACG